GGUGGGAGGGGAGGGAGGCCGGGAGGUGUGCGUGAUCCAGUCACGGUACAGGAGCAUGGCUGUGGGACGUGGUCAGGCAUCUACUGAGGACUUACACGGAAGGGAAAGCAAGAGUGUCAUUGCAUCUUUGCGAGGACAGAAAUGAAUGAAAUUAGGUUAUUUGAGAAAGCCAAGUCCCAGCCCAAUUUAGUCUGCGGCACCUGCCCCAGCAUUCCUGCCCCUGAACGUUACCCCAGACCUUUACUCCAGAUUUUGAAAGUGACCAGGAUCCGAUAGCUCUGGAGGCCCAGUGGUCUUCUUUCCAAAAGGGCUGUCAUCUGAGGGUUGCAAUGUCACUGUCAGGGUCAUGGUCCUGGGAAAUGGGACCAGGGGGUGGGAAAUGAUUUUCUUGAUUGAGUGUAGACUGUGUUGCCUAGUGGGUGGAAAGAAAUGUAUUUUUAAGCUUCAAAAGCAUUCUCCUGUAGGAUUUCCCUGAACAUCUGGCUCCCCCAUCUCUUGUUUCCCUCUCUUCCCAUGGCUUGUUAUCUAUUUUAUGUGAUCAGAAUUUUGGGGAAAAUGAGAAGAAAUUUUCCUUAAGGGCAGCUAGGGGCAGAAAGGCAGUGUUUAAGCAAACAUGUAAGUACAAGCAAAUCAUCCUCAUUAAAAAGCUGUUCCUAAAGGUUAGGUAGGACUUCUGAGUACAGGAAUUAAACAGGCUUGGUCCCCUUGUCUCAAGAGUAUGCAUGUGAAGAAGAUGAGUGUGAUUAAACAGUUUACACUCAGGGAUUUGGGGAGAGUGAAAUCUUUCACAGAAACUCAAUGAAGUUCCCUUCCAAACUUUCAGAGCUGGGGGAUGAACACAAGCAGUUACCUGAAGUGAGCAGUGUUACGACUCAGAGAUCAGUCACUUGAACAAUGGGACAAGCUCCGAAGGUCUGUCGUGACCACGGGCUUACCUGGAGACCCAAGCAUGGCCCUGUCAGGAACGCUGCUUCCGGAAGCUUGAGCCCACCCCUGCCUGGACUUGUCAGUGAGCCUGCUCCUGCAGGAGACAGGGACCUCCUGGGGUGGGGGGGGUGACUGUCACCCAUCACCUCUGGCUCAGAAGAGCCAAUCAGAAACCACAGGAUUUGGGGUCACACUUGCUAUCCCAGGUUUGGGAACCUGAAAAGUCUCUACUUAGCAAACAGUUGUUUUCCCUCUCCCGUGCCAUUUUAACUGCCUGAAUGACCCAUGAGGGGCCAGGUGUUCUUUCUGUGCACUUUUCUCAGCGCUCUGUCCUCUGCCCGGUCCCACCUGCUGGCUCACGUGGCCGAGUGGGCCUCUUCCCGGGCCCCAGCUGCUUGCCUCACGGCAGAGAUUUUAGGGAAGUGUUUGUGUAACUUCCCAUCUUCGGGAGAACGGUAAACACGUCCGAAGGAUUCACUUAAGGGAAUUGUUUUUUAAAAAAUUAACUUGGAGCUAUAUAAAGGAGGGAAGAUGGGAACAUUUUUAAUACUUUGUUUUCCUGUGUGCACACACAGUAGUAGUGCUGCAGGAGUGUGUCUCAUGCCGCGACCACCAAAACCCUCCUAGGUACUUCCCUCAGAGGGACACGUUUGCUGUUCUCCUACAAGCAGAUGUUGUUGCCUGGGCGGCAGGCUCCUUGGCAAGAACAAGAGGUGCGAUGGAACCUCCCUCCUAGCCAGGGUCUCCAUGGAGGUGUCCUCAAUUCACAUACUGGGGUUUUGAAACAAGGAAACCAGUGAGUGGAGGAGUGAGGGAGGGUGAGCAUGUGUGUGGACAGGCACUGUCCAGCCCGGCAGCAAGACUGGAGCCUUCGAGAUCCUGCUAGCACGUGAGCCCAGGCACUGGGUGUCCUUCAGAUCCCAUGCGCGCCUCUGGGCUCACCCACAGAAGGGCCACGUGGCUGCAGCUUUACAGUCCUGACCCUUCUGGAGCAGCAGUGCACGGACAAGACAACGGGGCCCUUUACAAGUCAAGGCCACAGCCUGCCUAACAAGCAGGUUGUUUGGCCACGUCCUAGCAACUGGUAGAAGGUUUGAAGUCAGGCUGAUACUAAGAAAAAUCAAAACCCCAGCCCAGGAUUGGGAAAACAGGUAGUGGUUCCAGGCUUUUAAAAAACUAUUUAAGCUCUCCAUCCUGUUGUGUAAAUUUGUCUUCUUUCUCCAUCACUUAGCUGUGACCAGCAUUGAGCUGUCCUCCAGUAAAGAUGACCUACAGGGGUCCAAAGCCAGGUGGUUUCACCAGCUAACAAGCUGCCUUCCUGCAGCUUUCCGCAGGGCACUCGGGCUCAUCGCAGCACAGUGUUUGAGCGGUUAGCCCAUGCAGUAUUUCAGGGAUUGGGCAGAAAAUAUCGGUGCACAUCACAGAGCCAUUGGUGGUAUUUAUAGCUUCACUUUCUCCUCCUACUCCCUGUUCCUGCCUGCACAGAGUAUCCAUGUUUCCUUUGAGAAAUCUGUUGUGGACUGAAAGUGCUGCUGGCUGUGAAAUUUAAUAAAGGGUGCGUAUUUGCUAGAAAAUUAUUUCUUCGACAAGAACAAUCAUUGAUCUCUUAAUCCUGGCUCUUAACAGUGGCCAAGGACUUGCUCAGCCUGUUUCUUGGUCCCUCAGUGCUUUCAAAUGUAAGCAGCAAAGCAUUUUGUGCUGUCGAAUGUGGUUCUGGUGACUCGGUGGCUUGCUACCUUGGAAGGAGGCGCUUGCUCCAGUGUUAAAGACAGGCUCCAAGCAGAGCUUGAGCCACUUCAGUUUUCUCUCAAGAAACCUCUUUUGAAUAAAAUACUCAGUUUUCCCCCAGACAUGUCCAGCCAGCAGAGGCGGCUCACAGCCUCCUAAGACCCCUUCCCAUGACUGCUGUGGUGAAAUUCCCACUCCGCACUGCGGUCUCAUCAGGACCUCGGCUCCCUCUUGUCCCGUGACCUUCCCUGCCCCUCCUCCAUCAUCCUUCCUCCACCCCUUUCUGCCCAGGCCUCACAGGCUCACUCCGCGAACACGGGCUAAAGGCUUUGGUGCAUUGCAGCGCUUUCUCCCAGCAGCUGUGAGCACGAUAUAUUUUCUACGCUAAGGAGGAUUUUAUUAAGAGAGUGCAUACUAAUGUCGUAUAUUACUGCUUUGGGCUGUAUACGAUGGUCUUCCUUCACACUAAAAUGUACGUCUUAUUUUAGUACUUGCAAGAGUCUGCUAUGAGGAACCAGUCCUACAUGCCGAGGACGAGCGUGAAAGAUGCCGUCGUAGUUGCCGGUGGCAUCCUGGCCGUCUCCCCAUCCUGAAGCGUUUGCUUCGAGGAAGGCUCUUAGAACAUAGACAGUCUGGUGAGGUGGUUGGCCCAGCUCCAUACACCCAGUAAAACAGCCGAACGGUUCAUGCCUCACGCUGCCAAGCCGCUGAAUUUCAAAGGGAGCAGACCCCGCCUGCCCGCUCCUCCACCCCUGUUCCCACACUCCACGCCUCACCCCCGUGCUCUUCUCGGACCCAGGUGCACAGUGCGCCAAGUCCAGGGUGCCCACGGCCCGUUGCUUUAUUUUCCCUUUGGGAUUCAGUAAGUUAAUGGCUUCCCCACUAACGAAAUUAGACUUUGACUCAGUACCUCUCGGUGUAUCAAAAGGUAUUCAUCUGGAACAUACCAAAUGUUCUAGAAGAUCUGCUCUUUGCUCCAGUUUUCCCUAGGGUGUUUCUGGCAGGGAAUCUUUAAAAGACAUCCACCUGAGUUGAUGCUAAAACUUGUCGCCACCCGGAAUGUAGUUAUUGGUCAGCAAGAUGAACAUUCUCCGAAUUCCCCCGGGGCUGCUUUUGUAGCCUGGUGAUGCACUUGUGCCCUCUCUGAGUGGCUUAUGCUUAAAAAACAGAUAAUACUUUUAGAUGGCUCACUGCUAGGGCCUGGGACGCGCUGUCCCUGAGAUCUGUGUGAAGAAAGCACCCUGAGGGGAGGGGCGAGAGGGAGCGAGGGCGGGUGCUGGUGGGGACCUGGGGGGCCCUGACGGCAGCAAGUCUGCGGGCCUGUGUUGGGGGGUUCUGGGUGAAACAGAAAAGCCAACUCACGCCAAGACAGCUUAUUUUGCUGUGAUACAAAUGUGUAAACUAAAGAUUCUGUGGCAGAAAUUACGUUUGUGGGCAGGCAAAUCAGACAGAGCCACAGGGCCAGCCUCCUCAGCAUUUUGAGAUCCUAUUACAGGACCCACAAAUCCUGUCCACACAGGCGGGUGGUUCUUGACUCUUUAAGCAGCUUUGACAGGUCGAAAAUUGCAUUUGCCUAGUCAUGUGACCUCAAAAGAAGUCCGCCAUACUUAAUCCAGAAAUAAGAUUCAUUUGAGGGAGGCUUGCAGGUCUGUAAAUAUCAUUUGCUUUCCUGGUUAGAUUGGGAUGCAGAAGGUUUUCAGUAUUGUUUUUUAACACUAAUGAUCACUGAAGAGUAUUUAUGUACACAUGUAAUGGGCGGGGGUCCGGUCAAGGUGUUGUAUGGGGUGGAUUCUCUCGCUGUGAUGCAAAUGUGUAAAAUAAAGAUUCCGCGACGGAAAUUGUGUUUGUAAUCCGAGAGUCAGCGAC
Propithecus coquereli (Coquerel's sifaka) is the source of this 4521-nucleotide RNA transcript. RefSeq lists it as uncharacterized. The record is from RefSeq and is a predicted model, not a curated record. The transcript has a single exon. NCBI's taxonomy places the organism in Eukaryota, Metazoa, Chordata, Mammalia, Primates, Indriidae.